This 434-nucleotide ribosomal RNA is filed under the name uncultured bacterium. Its description in RNAcentral is "partial 16S ribosomal RNA". It matches the Rfam family "Bacterial small subunit ribosomal RNA", at positions 29 to 507 of the family's 1533-position model. The record is from RNAcentral.
AGCGAACGCUGGCGGCAGGCCUAACACAUGCAAGUCGAACGAACCUUUCGGGGUUAGUGGCGGACGGGUGAGUAACACGUGGGAACGUGCCUUUAGGUUUGGAAUAACUCAGGGAAACUUGUGCUAAUACCGAAUGUGCCCUUCGGGGGAAAGAUUAAUCGCCUUUAGAGCGGCCCGCGUCUGAUUAGCUAGUUGGUUGAGGUAAUGGCUCACCAAGGCGACGAUCAGUAGCUGGUCUGAGAGGAUGAUCAGCCACAUUGGGACUGAGACACGGCCCAAACUCCUACGGGAGGCAGCAGUGGGGAAUCUUGCGCAAUGGGCGAAAGCCUGACGCAGCCAUGCCGCGUGAAUGAUGAAGGUCUUAGGAUUGUAAAAUUCUUUCACCGGGGACGAUAAUGACGGUACCCGGAGAAGAAGCCCCGGCUAACUUCGUG